RNAcentral lists this ribosomal RNA (492 nucleotides) under uncultured bacterium. Its description in RNAcentral is "partial 16S ribosomal RNA". It matches the Rfam family "Bacterial small subunit ribosomal RNA", at positions 29 to 507 of the family's 1533-position model. The record is from RNAcentral.
AGUGAACGCUGGCGGUAGGCCUAACACAUGCAAGUCGAACGGCAGCACAGUAAGAGCUUGCUCUUACGGGUGGCGAGUGGCGGACGGGUGAGGAAUACAUCGGAAUCUACUUUUUCGUGGGGGAUAACGUAGGGAAACUUACGCUAAUACCGCAUACGACCUACGGGUGAAAGCAGGGGAUCUUCGGACCUUGCGCGAUUGAAUGAGCCGAUGUCGGAUUAGCUAGUUGGCGGGGUAAAGGCCCACCAAGGCGACGAUCCGUAGCUGGUCUGAGAGGAUGAUCAGCCACACUGGAACUGAGACACGGCCCAGACUCCUACGGGAGGCAGCAGUGGGGAAUAUUGGACAAGGGGCGAAAGCCUGAUCCAGCCAUACCGCGUGGGUGAAGAAGGCCUUCGGGUUGUAAAGCCCUGUUGUUGGGAAAGAAAAGCAGCAGGUUAAUACCCCGCUGUUCUGACGGUACCCAAAGAAUAAGCACCGGCUAACUUCGUG